AGUUUAAUAGUCAAUCAAUGAUUUUAAAUUGCAAAUUUAAAGGUAAAUAAGUUUUUAAACUU
RNAcentral lists this transfer RNA (62 nucleotides) under Boros schneideri. Its description in RNAcentral is "tRNA-Cys". Lineage: Eukaryota; Metazoa; Arthropoda; Insecta; Coleoptera; Boridae. The record is from RNAcentral.